GGAGAUGCUGCCUACUGCAGUGUGGAGAAUGGAUUGGAGGGGUCAGAAUGAAUGUAGAGAGAAUUCAAAGGCUCCUGCAGGAGUCCAAGCAAGAGGAUUGCAGAUUGUAGCCUGGAAGAGGCCAGUAGCUGUGGUGACAAUGGACACCAGGUGGAUAUGUUGGAGAGACACUUAGAAGGGUCUCACUCUGUCACCCAGACUGGAGUACACUGGUGUGAUCUCGGCUCACUGCAACCUCCGCCUCCCAGGCUCAAGUGAUUCUCCUGCCUCAGCCUCUCGAGUAGCUGGAAUUACAAGCAUGUGCCACUACCACCCUGCUAAUUUUUGUAUUUUUAGUAGAGAUGCGGUUUCACCAUGUUGGCCAGGCUGGCCUUGAACUCAUGACCUUAAAUGAUCCACCCGCCUCAGCCUCCCAAGUGCUGGGAUUUUAGGUGUGAGCCACUCGCCUGGCAGACUGUCUUCUGAAAAGGACUUUUGGGAGUGAAAUAACAUCAGCUCUAAGUGACUCAUGUGCCUAUAUCCACCUGGUUGGUGGUGAAGAGGAGUUGAAAGGAAUGAAGGAUUCUAGGACAGAAGGUUCCUAUUGAGAAGACACUUUCGGCUAUAACCACUGUUACGUGUGUGUAAUUUAUUCAACACUACUGUGUAUAUAACGGACAAACAAAUCAUAUUUAAAACAUCAUCUAGUCUUUUUAGAUGUUUAGAAGUGCACAAAGUAUGUUAAAAGUAGAGGUAAAUAACACAUUUUGUAGAUAUCCUUUUGAUGUGAAAUAUUGUCUUUUGGAAAUUGAGCAAACCAAUUCCCUGAGCCGUACACAUUAUUAUAUCUGUGUCAGUUUGGGGAGGAAGGAGGAGCAGAAAGUACAAAGGGCUUUUCACCAGUGUGUUUAUGGUGAGGCACAUUGACUAUUAUCUUUUUUUUUUUUUUUUUGAGACGACGUCUCGCUCUGUCACCAAGCUGGGGUGCAGUGGCGCAAUCUUGGCUCUCUGCAACCUCUGCCUCCUGUAUUCAAGCGAUUCUCCUGCCUCAGCCUCCAGAGUACCUGGGACUACAGGUGUGCACCACCACACCCAGCUAAUUUUUGUAUUUUUAGUAGAGAAGGAGUUUCACCAUGUUUGCCAGGAUGGUCUUGAUCUAAGUCUGCAUUUUCUUUGUGCUGUGUAGAUAGCGUACAUAAGAGGACAAACCAAUCCUAAUCUAUAUCAUCUAGUCUUUGUAGAUGUUAGAGAGGUCCAGUGCGUGACAAAAGUAGAUUUAGUGAAUUAAAACACUGAGUACGUUUUGUGUUAAAAUUCAUAGGGAAGACUGUUGUUAAAAACAUAGAAGUGUGAGCCACCGCACCUGGCCAAUAGUGGGUAUUAAAAGAUAAACAAGUCUUAAUGCUCAAAGUAUGUUAAAAAUAGAUGUAGUAAAACAAUCCGUCUACAAAUGUUCUUUUGUUAUAUUUUAGGAGGCCUGUCUUCUGGGAGUGACCUUUGUUAUUCCACCUCUUGGAGCUAGGCAUAGUCCUAUACCUAGUCACUGGGAUGGUGGAAGAGGGAGAAAAGGAAGGAUGAAGGAAAGAGCUAUUUGCUAGUAUCUCCACAUCUAGAAGAUGGUUUUAGAUGAUAACCAUAGGUCUACAUGAGCAUUUUUAGUAAAGUGCUUGUGUGUAAUUCUGGACAAAGUUUAUUAUUUUGCACUAUCUAAGCUUUAUGAAUGUCCUGGGGUGAUAAUGUGUGAUAAAAAGUAGAACUAGUGAAUUAGCCAAUUUGUAAAUUUUUUCUUGUUAUAAUUUAUAGAAAAGAUGCAACUUGGACAUGGAACUGUUAAACCAUCUCUGAGCUUUGUAUGCCAGGACUUGUUCAUUAGGUUGGCAGCAGAGCAGCAAAAGGAAGUAUAAAGAGAGAGAUGUAUGCAGAUGUGUCGAUAUUUACAUUUUGAUGAUAGCCAUUGUUGUAUGUGCAUCUCUUUUAGCUGUACUAUAGGAAUACAUUAGGUAUUUCAAUGAAAACAUACCUUGCUAAUAUUUGAAUAGUAUAGAUCUGCUAAUGGAUUCUCUUAGAAACAUUAUACUUAGUGUAUUCUAUUGCUGUAUAUUUCAUUUUAAAGUGAGCACUAAAGGAAUGCGGUAUUUUAAUAAAAACUCUGCCAACGCUUUUACUUAGAGGCGUGUUGCCAAUUUUUGUCUUUUAUGAAAAUUUGGCCCAAGAAAGGCAGGAUUACAUUGUUUUUCCAACAGAUUGAGUGGGUGUAGUGUAUUCUUGAUGAUCAAAAUACUCAUAUAGCUUUGAGAUUUUGAAUUGGUAAAUACUCAAGAUGUGUGAAAAAGCAUGAUACAUACUAUAUGAUCUCAGUCCCAUAAAAUUGACUAUUGUAUCUACACCCACACAGGACCUAGAAGGACAUGUUAAACUGUAAACUGCUUGUGAUUGUGGAUGACCUUUUUCGUUGCUUCUUGUGUUUUUCAGUUUCCUAUAAUGCACAUAGUAACUUAAAAAAAUAAAGAUUAUUUUUGAAACCUAAAAAAAAGAGGUUACAGAAUUGAAUACUCCCUGAGAUAAGGUAAAAUCAUCUUAUGCUAACGGUUGCAAGAUAAUGGUAUAAGUAAGCUUUCGUCGUACAUAUCAAUGAACUUUAAGAUUUGGAAGACAAAAUUCAGUUUAUGUAUUCAAUUAAAUGUGCUCAGAUUGUAUUGUGCUAGAUAGGCACAUUAUUCUAACAUAAUAUGAAUGAAUCAAUAAAAUCCUUAUAAUACUGAUG
This 2743-nucleotide long non-coding RNA is filed under the name Homo sapiens (human). Its description in RNAcentral is "non-protein coding lnc-ALDH1B1-13:6". Lineage: Eukaryota; Metazoa; Chordata; Mammalia; Primates; Hominidae. The record is from RNAcentral.